RNAcentral lists this long non-coding RNA (1431 nucleotides) under Ananas comosus (pineapple). RNAcentral describes it as "long non-coding RNA (ACOM_LNC034546)". The record is from RNAcentral. Lineage: Eukaryota; Viridiplantae; Streptophyta; Magnoliopsida; Poales; Bromeliaceae.
AAAGAGGCGGGGCAGGCGACACGUAAGCCCGCUCAGCGAUAAAGAGGGGGAAUGGUUCGCGGGUGAAUGGAUUCGGAGAAACGGAGUAUGCGACAUGUAACUCCUUUGAAAACUCAAGUUUUAAUAUAGGCUAAAUUAUAGAAAAUCCCCCUGUAAUAACUCGCUUUUUCACUUUCCCCCUCUGACAUUUAAAAACCUACACUUUGCCCCCUUGUAAAAUGAAAAGUGUGCACUUCACCCCCUACCGUUAGGGUUCCGUUAUAAAAUAUUUUUUUAUGCUGAAAAUACCCUUCUGCCCUCUUCCUUGUUGCUUCGCCUCCCUCCGGCUCACCGCCUCGCCGCCUCGUCGUCCUCUACUGCCUCGUCCUCGCCCACAUCGCCUUCGCCCUCCUCCGCCGCCUCGCCUUCGCCCUCGUUGCCCUUGCCUACCUCUCCAUCAACACCCACCUCGAUUUCCUCCCUAUUAUUGUCGAAAUCGGGGGGCGGCGAGGGUGCAGGAGGAGAAGAGGAGCAGGUGCAGAAGGAAAUGGAGAGAAAUCGCGACCGAUUGAGAUGAGAAUCGCGGCCGAUCGAAGAGGCGGCUGAGGAAGAUGAGGAAGAAGACAAAAAUGACGAGGGGCAAAAUGGUCAUUUUACACACCGUAACCCCCCUGUGAACAUUUUUCAUUUUACAAGGGGGCAAAGUGUAGGUUUUUAAAUGUCAGGGGGGAAAAGUAAAAAAACGAGUUAUUAUAGGGGGUUUUCUGUAAUUUAGCCUUUAAUAUAUCUAUUGAUUGUUAUUUUACAAUUUCAAUUCAUAUUUUGCGUCAGAAGCACCAUAAAUAUUAAUUAUUUUCAAAAAAUUAAUAAUUGCCCGAGCCGAUUUUGAUUCGGACCGAAAUUUUUGCCUACUCGUAGUCACGAACCAAAUAAAGUGGGCUCGGGCUUUUUUUGCAAAUAGCCCCCUGAGCAAUUUUUAUUUUAAAAAUAGCCCUAUCAAAAUUAAAAUUACAAAAAUGGCCCUGUCCCUGCCACGCAGGCGCCACGUCAGCGCCACGCGGGUAUGGCUGGGGCCAGGGUAUUAAGUUGAACACGGUGAAUCAUUCACCGUGUCUAAACACGGUGAGCCAUUCACCGUGUUUAGUACGUAUUUUUUGUAUAUUGAAAAGUGGAAUAAGGAGUAGGGAUGUCAAUAGGUAUGGAUAUCCGAAAUAUUAUCCGAAUUCAAACCCGAAUAAAUUAUAUAUAUAUAUAUAUACACGUAAUUUAUUUUUAUUUAUUUAUACAAUAUAUAAAAUAUUUAAUAAUUUUUAUUCCUUAGAUCUUCAUCCAACGGUAUAGAUUUUUAAAACCCGCUGGUUUCAGGUUCGGGUUUCGAGUUUUUGGUCGGAUAUGAAUAUAUUUUAUAUAUUGUAUAAAUAAAUAAAAAUAAAUUAUGUAUAUAUAUAUAUA